AGAGGAAGGCAGACAGCAUUAAUAAAAUAGGCCACCGGAGUAUAAGCGAGCUGUGUAUGAAAUCACUAGGUGCAGCAAGCCAGCUCUUAGAUGUAAUCACAGCUUGCCACCUGCCUAGCCAUAUCUGAUGGCAAUUAUCUGCAGACUUCGUACAGAGAAGAGUUUUACAGGAGGAUCUGAAAGACAAUAAACUCUUUACGGAGUGGAGAUGAUCAGCUACAUAAUUUUGCUUAAAGCAGGUAAAAGUCAGGAAUCGCGUUUGGCUGCAAAUAAAACACACUGCUUAUCUCUGGAGGGCUUUCAUUGGUUUGCCAUCCAGGAACAGUGUGAGACUGCCUGAGGAAUGGCCAGUGAAAGGGAAAGCAGAGGGGCUACAGACAUGGGAAAGAAGCCAGUCAGAUGCUGAAAGCUGGACUGAAAAAAAAGCUGCUGUACCACGUUAGGACAGCAGGCUGGAAGUCUACGUAUAUUUCUCAUGUAAGGAAACUAUUAAAUACACAAUUAAAUGGGAGGCGGUAGAACUUAUUUAAUGUUAAUUCACUUACCUGUGGAUGUUGUAUAGUGUUUGUGGAAAUGAAAGAAGUAAACUGAAGCCUGGAAGAAAAGAGAGAUUGAUAUGCAUUGAUUUACAGUCAUACCAGCUUGACAGUCCCACAUAUGACAGAAGAGCCAAUGAGCCAUUGUAGAAACGAUUCAGUAUUCUAGUGCUCAUCACAGGAUGCAAAUGAAAUUCAGAGGCCUUAGGCAAUCACAUCACCUUCCUUACUUUUCCAAGGGUUAGCUGCUAGAAGUAGUUGCUGAUACAGAUCUUCUUGUGCAAUGAGUGGCAAGAGCUGGAGGGUUUUUAAAACAUGGGAUGCCACGAGUCGGUACAAUCGGCUGUGUGCAAUGCAGGCUCCUCUGCAGGAUCCAAGAAAGAUCACGGCCCCAUUUUGCAUGAGCUGCUCUCUGUUCACGUAGAGAGAGACGAGUCUGACACCAAAAGCUUUCCAGUGGAAUAUAUAAGGAUAAUUAAUCUCCAACAGCGCUGCCCACAUUAGCGGGGAAAUAGUAGGUUUAUAGUCCAGUAUGCUGAGAUUCAAUUAAUGAGAGGCUUUGCUGAGCCAGUGGCGUAAGUAAGUGAAUUAAUUUUCAUGAUACAGCCAUCAUUUUGAUGAGUUGCUUUUUUUAAAAAUACAGCUGUGACCUUUCUGGAGCUCAGCUUUAACCAAUAAAGGACAAGGAAUUUGCCUUUGUUAACUCUAUGCCUCUGUGCCUUGCUGCUGCUGAGGACCCAGGAGCUGGCUGAGGACCCGCGUGGUGCCCUGUGCAACACCCCCACACACAGUGCGUUCAUCUGAGGAGCAGAGAAGGACUCCAGCAAGAAGUGAGCAUUCAAGUGCUUUUAGAAAGCAGCAUUAGUCAGCCUAACUAGAGGAAGAAACAGAGAAUUGGAAAAAGAGUCUCCAGCCUGCGAGUCAUUUCAGGUAUUGCAUUUUCAUGUGUUUACUUCUUGCUGUUUCUUAAAACAGAUGAGAUAAAGAGCUCUGCUUCUUUGCCAUGGCGGGAUCUCUGUAUCACACAGCUGAAGGCUGUGCAACUGAAGUAACAGCCCAAGUCUUUCGUAAAUGUAUUUACAAAAUUUGCAAGCUUAGUGCCUUCACAGUGAUCUGCGUUUCAUGUGCACUGCAGUUAUCUAUGUUUUCUAUUAGGCAGGGAGGGCUGGUUCAAUAAAAGCUUGAGUAACGUACAGCAGUUCCAACAUCUGCAUCACAUUAGAGCAGACAUGAGACAAAACAUUGACUCUUGAGGUUAAAUCUAAAUUUCCUGCUGCAAUCCUGAAGUUUGAUUUGUUAGGAGAAAAGCAACCAAGAGGAACAGAAAUAGAGACUGGAGCUGGAAAUAGAAUUCAAAGCCCGAUGGUUGCCAGCAAUUUGUUAUUUUUAUGAAGUGCCAUUUUAGUUAGAAAUAACACGCUGACCACAAACAAUCCCCGGGCUGUAGCUGAAAGUCGCUUUUGGAUCAGGACAGUUACAGCAGUCACUCCUCUGUAUUUUUAGGCACCUUCCCUUUAACAAAGCGAGCGCGGAGGAUGCAGUAGGGAAGGCAAAGGGUGUUCCCCUGUUUCUUACGGGAUUUUCAAAAUUCCAUCAUUUCCUACAACACGUUGCUCUCCUCGGUCGUCUUUUAGCUAAGGAGGCCUGGCUAGGGGGCUGCUUUUGGUAUUCAUUAAGUCUGCUUUUUAAUUGGCAUUAAGAAGCCCUUUGUGCCCGGGAGCUAAAUUACUGCUUCCGCAUUGCUGCCAUUCCCCGCUGGUCCAGGGAACAAAAGGUGCAGCCUGGAAAGCCACCACCAGGCUGUCCCUCAGGCGCUGGGCCAGCUCUGCACUGCCCAAGGGAUGGCCUUGGUGCUUGCUUCUUUUCUGUUUUUAAUAGCCCAUUUUGUUUUAAAAUCGUAUCAAAGUCAAGCUUAGCGCAUUAGAAGUUUUUAACACGCAAUAGACGAUUCACAGAAUUGAGGGGUUGGAUGGGACCUCUGGAGAUCACUGAGACCAACCCUCCACGUGCUUGUUAAAAAGAUCACUGCUGUUGUAGUAUUUUUUCAGUUUUACCUUUAAUAUCUUCCCCAGCUGACUUAAAUCCUGAAUCCCAAAGGUAAGAAAACAGCUCUGCUCUGAGGGCAGAAAUACAGAGCACAGAUGGGUGGCACAGAUACACACAGGGAAUUCUUGUGUCACGCUGGGCAUCAAGCCCAAAUCCUGGGAUUUAGGCACAAUCCUGUGCUCAGUCCUGAGCCUUUCAAUAUCUCGUCUCACUUUUCAGAGAAAUAAGCAUUUGCAAAGCUCUUCGUCAGGAAUUAUUUUGUCCACGUUAAAAAACAACUACAAAAAAAAACCCCAAAAACCAACAACGAUGCAUUCGGGAUUACAGAUACGUCAGAAAUAAAGGCAUAUCUUGUAUUCCGAAUGUGAGUAUAGAUGUGUAUAGAGAUCUAUCUAUCUAUAAACAUACUGAUGGUUAUGUACGCAAGGACACGCAUACUUAUAUAUGUGUGAAAAGGACAGAAAGAUAACUCCCAGCAGUUCUAGUCACAACCUCAGAUUUCCUUUGGUGCUUUCAAAUUCAGUUCCAAAACUGUUAAGGUGUUGUGUUAUACUUCUGCAUGAAUAAAAAACAAAAACAGUAAAAAAAAACCAAGCUAGUGAUGGACAGUGCAGUACAUUUGUCCACUGUGUUAAUCUGACAGUAAUGGCAGACUGGCAGUGAUGUAUUUAAGUUCACUUGCACGAAGGCAUCUUAAAGCAUGCCCCAAACCUCCUGAUGGCCUGAAGGCUGCAAGGCUUAUCUUGCAUAGCACGGUGCAGCCACCUGGGUGAAUUGCUUGUUGUAGAGAAAGGGCGGGUGGGUCCAGAAACAAGCAGCUGGCACUGCUGUCAGCUCUACAAAAUGCUCUUUCAGUAACCAGCAAAAAGACCUAGCCUGCCUCAGGUAACCAGGUUCCUGAAUUCACCCGACUACGGAGAUUCUAAGCAAUGCUAAAUAAAAUAGCUCUAAGAAGGCAGCCAGAACACCUAGGAUACUAUUAUUUUUAAUGAAAUCCGCUGCUUCAAAGGCAGAGGUAUCUUAGCUGUUUAUUCUCUCCACGCCUAUUUCACUGCAAAUUCUUCAGGUGGUACCUACCAUCCCCUCUGUCCUCCCCCAAAACAGGGUUUUGGAGCAAUGAAACCUCCUCCUCAGUGAAGAGGCCUGCACAUGCCUUUUCCUUUGCGUACUGCAGAAGUUUGACUGAGUAAAAAUCGACACUUCAACCUCUGAAGUUGCAUUUCAACCUACAGUUUAAAUACCAUCACCUUCCUCCCUUAUUCUUCAUCAGCUUAUUCUUCAUCAUAGUCAAUGCUUGUUUCAAAAGAUAGGGAUAGCAAAUACUUCCUUUUCCACUAGAAAAAAAAAAUUAAGAUUGAAAAUAUUGAGGCCUCAAUGCAAGCUUGAAAAAAUCUUUAAUUUUUUUCCACAUUUUUUCCACAUUUUUUUUCCAAAUGUCUUCCACAUUUAGAGCAGCCACAUCUAUAAGGCGUAUCUUAGCAUGCUGAGCAGUGCCUGAAAGUCAGCUUCAUUAAAAGGUGAACUUUCAGGAGCAUUUCCAACAGGAGCAGCAGCUUCUUGUGGAACUGUGUGGUUUUCCCACCCAUUUCCUGGGAACACAACUCAUACUUGGUUGUGCACACAGAUAACUGCAUGUUCAGUUGUCCAGUCUACUACACAAUCACAUUUUAAUACUAUAUAAAAUUGCAACCUUAUAACCACUGAGUAAGUGUAGAAAACUCUUAAACUUGCAAUUUUCAGACUUAAUUGAGCCUGUAAAUUCUGAAUGUAUGAAGUAAUUGAAAGACAGAUGAAAAAUAAACCUGGACACAUCUACGUACCAUCAAAGGAUUUUACAUGACUAAGGGCACUAUGUAAACAUGAGUACUGCAUUCAUGCAAAAAGUUGAUGUAAGUUUGGGGUGUUGAGCAUCUAAGACGCUGAGUAUAAAGCAGCAAAGGGAUGUGUUUAUCGUGCUUACUGAUUUUAUAGCUUAUUUUCAAAGUCUAAGAACACAGCGUGUUGAUCUCUUUGAACUGAGCUGCAAGGUAACCAUUAGCAUUUGGAGGGCUUUAGUAUAGACUGAGAAAUUAGUUUGUGGAUGCAGUUGCUGCUUUGACGUAGUCUUGUUUAAAAGCAUGGAUGUUUAACUUUCUUUUUCUGCAUACAGCAAGAAUCGAGCACCUGAGGAUCAGUGCCCUUAGUUGAAAACCCAAGGCUGGCCACCAGAAGGUCCCUGCCAGGUGAGUUCCAGUGUGUGACUUUCCUUUUGGGGCUCUCACUGCCUGUGAAAUGAAUCCACGCCACUGUUACAAUCACCAUCAUGGGAUCAACACUAUCGGUCAACACCACUGAUCAGAGGUUCAGGGUUCACCCCAGCAUUUCAGGGUGUAACUCUGCCACCAACCACCAGAGCUCUUGUUUUCUAGGUUAUUGUGGCUAUUUUGGAUGGGUUACUCCAGACAUGAACUUCAGUGCAUUUUAUGUAGACCUGGAGUGACAGAUGAGUAUUUCACACCCUUUUCUUCAAUGAAGCCUUGUACAAUCCGUCACAGCAGUGCUUUAAUAAAUGGUAAAUUGGUGACAGAGAAGUAGAAGCCAACUCAUGUUAACUACACUUUUAAAACAAGGCCAGGCAGGGCCUGUAGGAGUGAUAACAUUUAGAAAACAUAUAACUGAGCAUUUAAUCACUUAACUGUCCACCAGUGAGGCAGAACAAUCAGCUACCUUGCAAUGGGAACUAUAGAAAAUCAGUGCAGAAUGACUUACUGGCAUGAAGCAGAUAAAAAAACAUACAAUUAAUGUAUGUAAGAAGAAAAAAAGAAAAAAUUCCUUUCAUCAUCAGAAGUGCAUUUAAGCUGUCAUUGUGAUCAGUGCCUUGCAUUGCUAUGAAGGCUCUCAGCAUCACCAGUUUUCCAUGGGGAAGGAAGAUGCCUCACUUGCAACCAUGCUCCAGAGAAGAGGUAGGGGACCACAUCCAGAUUGCUUCAGACAGAAGAAAUCUGCCUACCUGCUGUGUUGCAGAUCUGAUGAAUGGGUUUAUGGGAAUAAAUGUCCUGUUAAGGGUUGGUCUGCAGGACCUGGAGAUAUAUUCAAAUGAAUAACAUAGCAGGUAUGUUUGAACUGUAACACUGAUCUGAACCAAAGAAACCCAUACUUAACUAAAGGAAUGCACGUUUCAGAUGAUGGCCGUUUGACCAUGGCCUUCUAAAAUUUUCUUACAUGGAAUGAAGAGCAGACUGCUGUGUGCUCUUCAUUCCAUGUAAUUAAAUUUUAGAAGGCCAUGGUUUUAGAAGGCUAUGGUUUUAGAAGGCCGUGCUGUAUAUAACUGCCAGCUGCAUGGACUUCUCUGUCCUUCUUCAAUCUAUACAGUAUAGGACAUUGUUUAAGAACUGCUUUAGGUGGAUAACUGCUUUCUUGGUACUACAGAAUUCAAACACUUGCAUGUUUCAAAUGCGGCUUGGUCUGGUCAUUAGUUUUUUUGCUGCUAAUGUGUUUUCUUUUAUGCACUCAUUCCCUAUUUCGUGCACUUAAGUAGCCCACAGAAAUGAGCAGCCUCAAGGCACACGCGCUCCUUGCAGAGUACAGGACCCCAUCCAGUGCACACUGUAGGAAAAAAUUCUGAAUCCUUUGGCCCCAUCUCUAAGAGAAAGUUCAAGUUUCCGAUCCAUGACAGCUGUUAGUACUCCACUGAACGUUUCAUGUUCAAACCUGUCCUUUGAAUAUCUGUGUCAGCUUUGCCACAAGCUUCACGAGCCAGAUCUGGGCACUGCUGCCCACCACGUAGAGCGGACUCAAAUGUGCCCCUGGUCUGGCUGGCAGAGCUGCCUGCACCAUGUGCCACAUACCGAUGAAGCACAACAUAUCCACUCUACGCUCUGGUGAUCUCUCAACCACGAAGCCUAGUUCUGCAAUGGCAAUCAAUACUGAGGAGGAGUGGGAACCUUUCUGGGCAUCUAGGGGUAGUUUUUCCAACCUGGCUCCCUAAGGAAUGAAGCUGAUGUGACUGAUUGUACACUGCCUGCUCAUCUGCAUCCCACCAUAACUUCUGAGCCCUGUGGUCAAUUCUGAACAAGUUUAGCAGGUUGAAAGACAAUUCCUGUAAGUUGCCUGGAAACAAACAGUCAAGUAAAAGAAAACAGUUACAUGGAUGUUUCCAGUGAGAUGAUUGCAGCCUGAGCUCAAAUUUUAUUGCACAUUAUAAAAUCUAUUCCACACAGAGCUUGUAUGUGUGUCUUGAGUAUGAAAAAGCUUCAAGCACCUAUCACAGGUCAUGUAAUCGCAAUGUGAGACAGAAACCAUAAUCAAUUAGUAAUGCUGCUCCUUAAACUACUGACAUUUAUCUGUCAAAGACAGUCUUUGUAUGAAGUCUAUAACAUCUUUUGGCAUCAUUUUUGGUAUUAGACUGCACGUAGCAAACUGAUUGUUUUAAAAUGCUUAUUGUAAAUAUUUUAUAUGGCUCUCGACCUGAUAAGGCAGCGACAGGGAAUGCAUGGUAUUUGGGGCAUCCUGGAGGGGUGAAAAUAAAUGAUGGGUCUCACCCCAGUGGUGCCCUUUGAAGAGACCCUCGUUAGCCAGAUAACGCUAUGGGACAGUUGUGGUUAAAUCCCGGCGGGGCUUUUGGAGUGUCAUCCACAAAAGCUUUGCUGAGAGCAGAAGUAAUUAGUUCCAGCUGAGCACACAGGCACAUAACUUUAGAAAGGUCUGGCAACUUUCAUGCUAAGAGGGGAAAAAAACAAAGGUAUUUCUGUCCAGAAGGCAGGAUAACAUGCUCUGGAAAUGGAGAACAGCCUAUUUUAUUUAGUUUGGUGCUCAGCUAGGUGUGUGUUAGGGGGCAUAGGGACUGGAACUUCAGGAUGGAAUCGCAUUCACCGCCUGCAAAAAUUCCAUGUUCCUAUUCGCUGGGUAGCAGAAUUCCCACAGAACACUCUGCAGAAGUUUCUCAGCUUCACAAGGAAGGCCUCUGGGGGCACUUUUCAGCAGCCCAAGAGCUGAUCUUCCUACAGGUGCUCACUGUGUGCUAGAGAGUUCCCAGGGACGUAUGUAAAGCUCUCUCUUGGGAGGUUUUCAUAAAGCUUCUAAUCUAAACACCGGCAUCACUGUGGUUUUUAUGUAUAUCUUUGUGUGUUCUGGCACCUGAUAAAAAUUGCACUGUGGGGGAGUGAAUGUCACCUGGUGAUACCGCAGCUGCCACCGAGGAUGUGCUUGGAGUGGAGUUCAUCCUCAGGUUAUAUGUGGGCUCUUCUUUUUUUUUUUUUUUCUUUUUCUCCGAGAAACUCCAGGAAACACAUCUGGAAAACUCCACUCCUGUGCUCCUUGUUCGGAUUUCUUCCCACUAUGAAAGGUACUAGCUACAGCCCAGCUGUGCUCAGGAAAGUGACAGCUCAGCGGUUGAACUCCUGUUGUGUACAGAACAGUAAAAGCACAAAACUGCAGGCACGCUGUUGGCCAAGUACUGAUGGAGCAGACACGCGGGUUCAAUGUUAGAGUGAGCACUGGUGACUCUUAAACGCCAUGGGAUGGUUAAGGAUAGCCAGUUAGGGCUUAAUGGCUCCUCUCAGGGUUCUGGGAAACAACCUCAUAAAAAGCAGCAGAGGCCCUAUUGCAUUGCUCUGGGUUUUGAGUGGCCACAGUGGCACUGAGCUGAGCGUGCUGCAGGGAGGUGACCUGAGGCAAACAGGUGUGGCUGAGCAAGGCGUGCUCUGCCCUUGGUGUGGGCUAUGCCAGUGCUUUUCCAGUAGGCACAGCGGGGUCCUGGGUUUUACUGCAAGCUUCUAAAAACUAUAUAUCCAGAUUUACGGCACGCAGGCUAUCCAGUGAUUAAACACUUCAAAUACUAUUGUUGAACUGGGAUUCAUACCUGUGACAAAGCUGAAGUGCUUUCUGGAUCAGAAUGAUACUAAGUACUGCAUACUUUACACCUAUAUUACAGGUAUGAUUCAGCUGCAAAAGUGGCCCUGCUAAUGGCACUAUAGACAAAGCGCAAGAAACAAUAUUUUUAAAGAAAUGUUUUGGCUCUCAGUUAUGUCUCUUCAGCUUGGGACAACGAUGGAAGAAGCACUCAUCUCCCUGCUUAUGAAUCCAGCCAUGCAACUGUACUACAUCAGACGGAAGCAGUCCUUCUUUCUAAAUCUAAAGGAACAUUCCAUCAAACUUCGCUUUGCAGUAGAAUAUGAAGAAAGAUGCUCACUUCUGUGGAUUUUAUCACGCUGAUGUGCUUUCCUAGCACAAAUCUUCCUAAUACACUGACUAGUUUGAGUUAAACCUUCACCCAUGACUUCCCAAGUGCAUCCAGCUCCUCACUGAGGCGGCUGUCAUGUGCCUUGACAAGAGGAGCAGAGAUGAUGUACAUAGCGUGGAUGGAGCUCUGCACCUGCAGGCCCCAGCAGCAUGGCUCGCACAGAAGCCAGCACCCAUCUCUGGCUCUGCAGCACGGCUCCCAGAGCACACAGAGCUCCUUCUUCCCACCAGAGGGCAUUUCCCAACUGCACACGGCCAGAUUGAUCCUUGCAAUGCCUACCAAAAGGGCAGUCACUGUUUUUGCCCUUCCCUUUCUUUCUUUUUCUCUGUGCUCACAAAACAGUCCUGACAAAUAACUAGACUGCUCAACCUCCGUCACACAGGGUCAGUUUUAGAUGCUGCAGACAUCUCUGCAGGCAGGUGUCAACAUGAAGCUGUGCAAAUGCAGCAGGUUCAGAAGCACCCCUGGAAGCACUCUGGCAGCCCCUGGCUGGAGAUGGAGCUGGGUGAUGGCCUUUAUUCAAGUCCUCUAUCUGGCUCAAGGCCCGAAUGCAUUUCUGUCUGUCUUGCCUGUGCCAAACCCUAUGUCUUGUGCCCUCUUGUCAUUACUUGUAAGUUCAUAUAGAAAUCCUGGAGAAAUGCAUUUGCUAAUGUUGUCACCUUCCAAUUAACACACUGAAGCAUUCCACGCGCACACCUUUGUAGCUAGGACCGCUGUUCUAGCUCAUUGCAAUGUAACUCAUGUACUCAGUCUAGCUAUAGCAGCUGGAAGGUGCUCUUCUUACUUCAGGAUACACUGACAGUGUCAGGCAAUGAGCAAAUUGGUCACUGCUGUGUAUGAAAAAUGCAUACCUCUGGUCUGAGAGUAAUUCUAAACACAGAGCUUAGAAACCAUCUACAGCUGUGCCUCCUACCGCUAUUUAAAUAAUACCUUUCUUCUUUCUGUCCGUGAUGUUUUGGAUCAUAGUGCGCUGCAGGCUGACCUACUGAUCUUUUAUCAGAUAUAAAUGUGAACAACAUUUUACCAGACUGAUAUAAGAAGUCUGUGAGCGUUUGAAAACAGUCAGUAAAGCACACUGAUCUGCAUGUGUAACUAAGGAACAAUUUUUGUGUUAUUUGUAUACAACAGAUAUGAAUUCAGUGAGGAAAAAUGUUUCCAGAGUGGUCUGCCAGCUUAAGUUUACCAGUAAGACUCCUAUUAGUCACCUCUAUUCAUGUCAGCUUGGGACUGGCCAGCGCUUACAAAAGGAAAAAGAAAUUUAUGGGCAAAAUAAGGAAUUAUCUAAUCAAAGGAAUUAAAUAACAGUAAAGUUCUCCACGGAUCCAGGCACUUACCUAUAAGCAAGAUUACUAAUACGUCUGUAAUGUAAUAACCAAACAGGAAAGGCUUCUGCCAGACUUCCACACCAACAAUGCCGGUGAGCAGAUAUGCUGUUAUUAACACCUACAGAAAAAAAGAGAUAACAUGCUUUUAAUCCUUUCCUCCUAAAGGCACAGAAUUUUGCUUACCAUCUCAGCACAAACAGAAAUACAGCCCUGCUCCCCACCUGGUGCCGGCUGCCAGCAGCCCUGCCAACCACUGCUAAAUCUGUGCUGUGUGGUUCAGUUCCCUGAACCGUUCUGGACCAAGAUUAACAGUGAGUUAUGAAAAGUCAUUGUACCUCUAAGUCCAAGCAGUCUCAUUACAUGUAAUGCCGGUGAGGAGACCGGAGAUUCACUUAUUUAUUCCCAGCUAACACUUGGUAACUUCUAUUUUUUCCAUUCAGGACAGCUUCUUUCUCUGGGAUCACAAAUAUUUUCCAGCCUUAACAUAUGGUAGAUUUUACUAUCUCUUUGCUUAGCUUAUUUUUUUGGUUAGAUGUCACUAUAUUUGACUUCAUUCAGUUUUCUGUAUCUAGAUUCAAGGCUCUUGCCCUAUCAUUACGCAGAUUUUAAAUAGUUUUAUUGAAUGGGGCAUCAUAGGACUGAAUGUGCAAUUGCCUGUGCGAGAACCAGAAGGGGAAGAGCAGGCACUAGAACAAAAGUUGUGUCUUAGGACUCGGAGAAAUACUGGUCUAAAUGAAGGAUGUAUAUAAUGGGUUUUACAACCCACUACAACAGAGGUAACGUUUGGCUCCCUAAGGAAACUGCAUUAUGUUAUCCAUAAGACAUGACAGAUGAACUCUUAGCUCCAUCAAAUCUGAGGGCAAAACUCCAGCUGGCUUUGACAGAGCCUGAAUUUACCCUCACACGUUGCACUCUGAACAGAUAUUCUUGGCGAGCAAUAAAAGAGGAGCUUCGGUAUUACCCGCUAUUACAGUCAGUAUUUUUGGCAGAACACUCACGGGUAUCACUGUCAGAUGUCAGCACACCUCUAGGAACGGAGCGCUGAGGCAACGCGGCGUGUGGGGAAUCCCCCACCCUGGGACUGGGGGAUUCAGGCUGAGGAUGUCUCUCAUUUAACAGAUGUUGUGGAGGAGGAACACUCUUUGGCUUCAAUUCUUUGGUAUUUUGGUUUCUAGAGAAUUGUAACCAAGUCCCUGCUAUGACUGGAAUCGGUAGGAAUAACUGCUGUGAAUUAAUUGCAGCGCUCUCUAGGACUUCUUUUAGAAAGCUGGGCAAUGAGAAGCUGGCUGUGUCCCUCGGUCCAAGCUGUGCUGGCAGAAAUUGAAGACUGUCAAAAUUAUUAGACAGAAACUAAGCAUGCUGAAAAGCUGUAUGUAUUUUAGGCUAUUUUAAAGGGCACUGGAGGUUAAAAAAUUAAUAGUUAAAAUGCACAGCGGUGUUCCUAAGUGCAACUGUGUAAUUCUACCUAAGAAAGACAGACAGCUUUUUACUGAUCGGACUUAGUACUUCUCAUAUAUCAAGCUGGUGACGAGCAAAUAAACAUCAUUACAAACUUCUGUAAAAUGAGAAGUCCAAAUAAAAUAACAGAAGUAAAGGUUGAAUUGCAAGUGAGUGUCAGACAUACAAAGUACUGGUAGGUUAAUGCGUUUUGCAUACAGGCUCAUCGACUAUGCUGUACCAUACAGGAAAGAAAUACAAACAUUUUCUCAUCUUGGUUGAAAACAUACUGGAUACACUUAUAAAUUUUUAUGAUUCCACGAAAAAGUGACAUUAAUUGUAGUGCAAUAUUCAGUGUCACCAGCGUAUCACAACAGUAAUAAUUGCUCAUGCCUUGGCAUACUUUCCAUUAACACAGCGCUCACACUGAACAUGUAGGGAGUGCAGUCACAUAAAUGGAAGUUAUACACUGAAAAUAAAUAGGGCAUUUUCCUAAAAUAUUACAAGUUAAUGAUUUCCCGCAAGUGAUUUCACUUUUAGCUGCAGGAUGAUGUGCAAUUUUUCAAUUUUUCCUUUUUUUCCCAGUAUUUAUUCUUUCAAUACAUAGUUGGAGGUGGCAUAAUUAGCCUAUAAAAAUCGUUUCUUCUGUGUGUUAAAGAAGCUCGUUUUGCAUUUGGACACACGGUAUGUGGCAGGUGAACAACAAAGCACACUCAGAGAUUAAUUAACCAGGUAGCAUUCGAGUGGAAUCAUAAUCAAGUGGCUCAGAAAGAAGGGAUCUGACGCAGGAUGUGGGCUUUUCCCUCUGCCCGUGAUAUCACCUUGCUCCCACUAUAUCUCACAGUGCUCAGAAAGAUGCCACAGCCUCCUCCUUUAGGAACCAGGCAGGAGGAGAAGCCAUCAUGGUCCUUCCAACAAUAUGACACAGAAUCAGUGAAUCAUUUGAGUUGGAAACUGUCAGGAUGACACGGUGCCAAGAGGCUGCUCCUGUUCCUUUCUCUGCUUGCAGAGGAGUAAGCACAAGGCAACCUUGUGCCCUGCUCUUUGAUGCUGAGCCCACCAACACUCAGCCCUCCGACUGACUCUCCUUCAGACUUAUCGAAGCUGUAUCUCAGGUUUACAUGCCACAGUUCCCCAUAAAUGGCUGUUUGCUGUAAUCAGAGCUAAUUGGAGUGCCAACUACAGCUCAGCCAUUGAAAUUAGGUUACCAGUUCUGAUGAGUCAUCAAAUCACAGAAAAAUGUGAUCAGCAAAAGUUCCACAAAUGUCUCUACUCGUAACGAGAAAGCUUUUCCCAAGGAACAACAGCUCUUUUAACACCACAGUUAACACAGAGCCAGUCAGAGGACUGCCCAUGUUUGUUAUACGCAACAGAGCUGACUCAGCAGCAGUGUUCUGUUCAGGUUGGAUAUUAGGAAAAAUUUCCCUUCCAAAAGAGUGGUAGAGAGGUUUGGAGCUGGAAUGGGCUGCUCAGGGAGGGGAGUGAGUCAUCACCCCUGGAGGUGUUCAAGAAGGUCUUUUCCGACCGCGGUGAUUCUAUGAUUCUGCGAUUCUAUGACUCUAAGUCACUUAUCUGCACACUUAUAUUAAAAGCAGUACUUCCUGAGCUUUGUAAUGAUAAUGAAGUCCAAAGUUCCUGGAUGCCAUGCACUUUAAAAGCUAGAGCAGAGGACCGGACCACCUGAAUUUCUGGCAUGCCAACGCUAUCGCAUCAUACUGCCAGUGGAAUCAUUUAAGACAGAGCACACAGGCAUGCUCACGCAGCAGCUUGGCUAGGAAUGCCAUGGAGGAAAUCGUGAACAUGGGAGCAGCCUGAAAACAGCCUGCAAGUGCUGCCUCACCCUCUUCCUCUGAAUGUGACUGUGGCAAUAUCUGGUGGAUAACUUGAGGGGAAAAAAAACAAAGCAUCAAGAGGAGCAUUUUCUUUCUUGUCUCUCAUUAGCCAUUUGCUAGUGUCCUUGGUAUCCAGUCACUGGAGGUGUUCAAGGCCAAGUUGGAUGGGGCACUGGGCAACCUGAUCUAGUGUCUGAUUUAGUGGUUGACAACACGGCCUGCAGCAGGGGGGGGCUGGAACUGGAUGAUCUCUGAGGUCUCUACCAACCCAAGCGAAUCUGUAAUACCAUGAUUCUAUGAAGAGUGCACCCAUUGUAUGACACUGCUGGACCAGUCUGCAAAACAAGAGCAAGGCAGUGUCUAUCACAGAAUUGAGGUCUUCCCCUGGACUACUUAGCACAGCCAGAAAAAAAUACAUAUGGGUCCUUCUGGUGUGCACAAUCCUUGGUUUGAACUACUGUAAAAAAUACUACCUCGAUCUACACGUUACAUCCUGCGCUUUUGCUCACGGACAACCACAACUACAAAAGCUGAUUUUUACAGACAGAAAACCACCACUGUUGAUGACUGUGCUAUUAAGCAUAAAAACAUCCUUACAUUUAUAUGCUUAUUAUUUUGACUGUAAGCAAAUCAUCACAGAAGUUGCCAGAAAGAAAGCACACAGGACAACAAUUCCGCAUCAAAGGGGAAGAGGAAGUAACACUUGUUAGCACCUUGCAUCCAAGAUAAUCAAAAUAGUUUACAAACUCUGCUGAAAUUAAACCUCACCACAAAUCUGCGAGGCGGGGAAAUGUUAUUACAUUAUUUCCCAGAUGGGAAAGCUGCUGCAGGGGCCCAGGUCACUGAAAGGCACCGGCAGAUUUAACAGUACUGCUCCAUUAGUUGAGAUCCGCUCCCACAUUUAAGUACUAAUACAGUUCCGAUGAUGUUGAAAUCAAAAAGAUCUUUCUAAAUGCGCGCAUAUUUAUCUGCAGUGCUCAUCCAAGCAGCAAGUGAAAUUGGUUUGAGCACAGCCGUUCCUCUCUGGCUGAAAGGACUUCAGUGAGAAGCCUUGCACAGAUACGGCAGAAACGCGCAGACCAGCUGGCUGCCUAAUGUCGGAGUGCCGAGCCAACUGCUUCUCCCAGAACCUAUUUUCUAGGAGAUGAAACAGAUGCACCACAGCUGGACCACCGUCUCCGAGCUGUUCUCAAACCACUGGAUUCUGAUUAUGUUUACAACAAUACAUCUGCAGCCGUUAAUUCAAAUACUAUAUUUCCAUUAACACACAUAUUUGAAUGUUUGUCAGAUUUCUUUUCAAUUAUGUCUCGUUGGCUGUACCUUUCAUCCCAUGCCUGGGACAGGAAUCUCAGAAGUCUGGGAGUUUGCUCUUCAGGCUGCAAGAGCCUGGCUAUCUCAGAGACUAGCCAGCCCCAGAAUCUGUGCAUAGGGCCCUUGGCAGCACAUGAUGCUGCUGCCACUGCUACCAUUCAUUUGUACAGUGAGGUCACUGCAGCAAGUGGUGACCUCACUGGUCAUGUUUGUGAAGAUGUCCACCUUGUGGUGGGGCUGUAAGCUGGGCAAGAAGUCGGCUGUGAACUGGCUGUGGACUGAUAUAUUAUUCCCGUUUCUGAAUCAUGUUUACAUCAUUCCCAAAGAAGAAAUCUAAUGUUUUUCAAGGGUGGAAAUCACCUGACAACAGUUAAUGCUCACUGAAUAGGUACCAUGCUGCUCAUAUUACCACAUUCAGUGUAACACUUAGAAGAAUUGGUCAGGUCUAGUAAUGUACACCUGUGUAAUUACUUUAAUAAACACUGUUUGGACUAA
Long non-coding RNA from Gallus gallus (chicken), 15202 nucleotides. RefSeq lists it as uncharacterized. The transcript is spliced from 2 exons. Lineage: Eukaryota; Metazoa; Chordata; Aves; Galliformes; Phasianidae. The record is from RefSeq and is a predicted model, not a curated record.